RNAcentral lists this long non-coding RNA (240 nucleotides) under Homo sapiens (human). RNAcentral describes it as "non-protein coding lnc-UNC13B-2:1". The record is from RNAcentral. Lineage: Eukaryota; Metazoa; Chordata; Mammalia; Primates; Hominidae.
UGAGAUGGCAGUUGCCGGAGUUGGAGGCCGGGCGGCGACGAAAUUCCAUGGAAUUAUAGUUGGUCUACUCUGCAAUGUCUCUAUUUAAAAGCCCAAGUGAGGACAGACAAGAUGAACAACAUGAGAGAUAUCUGCAAGCCAACAACAAAGAAUUCAACAGUAUUUUUGGAUAUCCGAACAAUGCCAUCAAGACCUCAAAAUAUAGUGUCUUUAAUUUCCUGCCCCUGAACCUAUUUGAAC